Bos taurus (domestic cattle) is the source of this 1143-nucleotide long non-coding RNA. The record is from Ensembl. Lineage: Eukaryota; Metazoa; Chordata; Mammalia; Artiodactyla; Bovidae.
CUGGCCUGUUUAUUGGCUUUUGUGCAACGAGCAGCCGGACCUUGCACACUCCUCUAGGUACCAAUUCUAUUUUUACAGAGCAAAGCCUCCAGUCUGCAGCAGAGUCUAGGUCCUAUAACUUGGAGCUAUGCACUCAACUUGAUAUUUUGAAAAGCCAAGUUUUUGUCUGUGACUCUAUAAUCAGGUAUGUUUUAGCCUAUCAUUGCGUUUUGAUGCCGGGUUUGCUGGGAAAGAUUGAAGGCGGGAGAAGAAGGGGACGACAGAGGAUGAGAUGGCUGGAUGGCAUCACUGACUCGAUGGACGUGAGUUUGAGUGAACUCAGGGAGUUGGUGAUGGACAGGGAGGCCUGGCGUGCUGUGAUUCAUGGGGUCGCAAAGAGUUGGAUACGACUGAGCGACUGAACUGAACGAAACUGAACUUAACCCUAAGGACUUCUCAUAACUCCCUCUGACUCAUAAACCAUGCCAAUCUGUUGCAAUGAUUUUGGAUAUGACUUUCUGUUAUGUAUAUAGAUAUAACCUGUCUGUUAUGACUGUAAAGGGGCACACACAGCAAGGAUAAUAUUGUAAGCAGCAUCUUGGUGAGUGAAAAACACUUAGGGUACUUGAGAUGCUAUGAAAUGCGAUACUUUUCAAGUGUUCUUUUUUUAAUGGAGCUAAAGCUUGCUUUAUUAAUUUAAUUUUAAAUUUAUUUUUAAUUGAAGGAUAAUUGCUUUAUGGAAUUGUAUUGGUUUCUACCAAACAUCAACGAAAAUCAGUCAAGUGUUCUUUUUAAAAUGAAUUUUACUUGGUAUAUUAUUUAUUGAAUGUAGUAAUUUAAUGCUGAUAGAAUGUUACCAUGUAGUAAUGCAACAUGUUACAGUGUUUUAAUGUCUAAUAACAUCUCCAAAAUGAGCCUUAUUAAAUCCUGCUAAGGGGAAACUUCCUUCUCAUGUUUUGAGACAGAGAAGGCAAACAAGUUCUGAGACUAUCAGAGAUUUCUCUGGCCAGCUCCAGAGGCACCAAAUUUAUCUGUGACCCAGAUUUGAUCUGGAGCUGAGCGGAAGGAUGCCAAGUUGAAGCCAAGUUUACACUCUGAUUCCUCUGACUCAAGUGGCUUUAUUCAAAAGGAGCUGAGUAGGAAUGAGCUGAGGUUAGAGGCAAC